RNAcentral lists this ribosomal RNA (497 nucleotides) under uncultured bacterium. RNAcentral describes it as "partial 16S ribosomal RNA". It matches the Rfam family "Bacterial small subunit ribosomal RNA", at positions 28 to 507 of the family's 1533-position model. The record is from RNAcentral.
GAUGAACGCUGGCGGCGUGCCUAAUACAUGCAAGUCGAGCGAACAGACGAGGAGCUUGCUCCUCUGACGUUAGCGGCGGACGGGUGAGUAACACGUGGAUAACCUACCUAUAAGACUGGGAUAACUUCGGGAAACCGGAGCUAAUACCGGAUAAUAUAUUGAACCGCAUGGUUCAAUAGUGAAAGACGGUUUUGCUGUCACUUAUAGAUGGAUCCGCGCCGCAUUAGCUAGUUGGUAAGGUAACAGCUUACCAAGGCAACGAUGCGUAGCCGACCUGAGAGGGGGAUCGGCCACACUGGAACUGAGACACGGUCCAGACUCCUACGGGAGGCAGCAGUAGGGAAUCUUCCGCAAUGGGCGAAAGCCUUACGGAGCAACGCCGCGUGAGUGAUGAAGGUCUUCGGAUCGUAAAACUCUGUUAUUAGGGAAGAACAAAUGUGUAAGUAACUAUGCACGUCUUGACGGUACCUAAUCAGAAAGCCACGGCUAACUACGUG